GGUAAGAUGGCCGAGCGGUCCAAGGCGCCAGGUUCAGGCACACCUGAAUGGAUAUUCCUGGUCUCAGAAAUGGGGCGUGGGUUCGAAUCCCACUCUUAUCA
RNAcentral lists this transfer RNA (101 nucleotides) under Lomentospora prolificans. Its description in RNAcentral is "Scedosporium prolificans tRNA". It matches the Rfam family "tRNA". From Rfam's summary of the family: Transfer RNA (tRNA) molecules are approximately 80 nucleotides in length. Their secondary structure includes four short double-helical elements and three loops (D, anti-codon, and T loops). Lineage: Eukaryota; Fungi; Ascomycota; Sordariomycetes; Microascales; Microascaceae. The record is from Rfam by way of RNAcentral. RNAcentral also lists the same sequence under 1 other name.